UUCCCAAGUCAGAGGGAGAAUAGACACUGCAUGUAAAGUUUAUUUAUUUAUUUUGUGGUGGGGAGGGGUAGAGGGAGAGAGAGAGAUUCCCAAGCAAGCUCCUUGCUGACAGCACAAAGCCCCAUGCAAGGCUCGAAUUCAUGAACCGAGAGAUCAUUACCCGAACCCAUACCUGAACCCAAACCAAGAGUUGGACGCUUAACCGACUGAGCCAGCCAGGUGCCCAACACUGCGUGUAAAAACCACCCCACACAGGGGAGAGGCUGCCCAGAGCCCUGGAGUCAAACUUGGAUUCAAAUCCUGGCUCUACUACUUCUUUAUUAACUGCAAGAUCUAGGGCAAAUUACUUAGCCUUGUUGUAAGGCCAGUUUCUCACCUGUAAUUGAGAAUAAUGGUAGUAGAAAAGUGUAAGCAGCACUUAGCAUGGCACACAUAGGAAACAUCAACACAUUUUAUCUAUCGUCAUCACUUCUAUUACCGUUACAGCAGGAUUCCAUCCUUUUAACAAUCACGCAUGCGUAGCUCACAUUCCCACCCAGACACGGAGAUCAGGGAGCAGCAGCAUGGCAAUGGAAGAAAAUGCCUGUUUUCACUUUUAUGUACUUUCAAGUUUCGUUAGCAAGCACCAGUGACUAGAAUAACACGGAAACCUUAACGAAGAGGAGAAGGAGUAGGAGAAGUUUUAAAACAAACGGAGCUCACCCACAUCGCACAGUACCGGCUCCAGGCCUCAAAGGGCGGUGCCAGGGUACGGGCGCGCGCCUGCGCGAAAACAGGCGAUGGCGCUAGGGAAUCCCGAGAGGCCCGACCAAUCAGAAGGCGUUCCAAUCUGACUCCUAGAUCCUUGGCUGUCUGCUGUGAGAAGAGCCCAAGGACGCUCCAACUGCACGCACUUAACACAGGACACCAUGAGAGAAAAGACGGGAAGAGGAAAAGCGCAGGGAGGGACAUAUGGCCUAGAUUCUACCCAGGCAAGAAUUCUGCGGCCACUAGUGGCUCCAGGAACCACGCGGACUUGUGUUCUCAGCUCCUAAAUCCCCCAAGCCAUUUGAGAUUCUAUUUGUUCUUGAAUGUACCUCCUCUUUUGUAAUGAGCUUUAAAAGUUUGCUCGGUGACAUCGCACCUCUUCCUCCUCACCUGAGAUUUAUCCAUUCAUCCGUUCAUUCACUAAUCAGCUAUGAGGUACCUAUGACGCCAGGCAGUCAGGAUAGGGGCUGAGGAACAUAGAUGAAGAAGUCAAAUUUCUUUCCCUCCAGGAGGUCACUUUCUACUGAGAAGGGCGACAUUCAAGUCAAAGGAAGUGCAUUUGAGAUAGAAGAAUGUACUGGGUACCAGGAGGCCCAAAGAAG
RNAcentral lists this long non-coding RNA (1349 nucleotides) under Felis catus (domestic cat). RNAcentral's name for it is "lncRNA (ENSFCAG00000047341.1)". Lineage: Eukaryota; Metazoa; Chordata; Mammalia; Carnivora; Felidae. The record is from RNAcentral.